This 468-nucleotide ribosomal RNA is filed under the name uncultured bacterium. RNAcentral's name for it is "partial 16S ribosomal RNA". It matches the Rfam family "Bacterial small subunit ribosomal RNA", at positions 28 to 507 of the family's 1533-position model. The record is from RNAcentral.
GACGAACGCUGGCGGCGUGCUUAACACAUGCAAGUCGAACGGAAAGGCCCUGCUUUUGUGGGGUGCUCGAGGGGCGAACGGGUGAGUAACACGUGAGUAACCUGCCCUUGACUUUGGGGUAACUUCAGGAAACUGGGGCUAAUACCGGAUAGGAGCUCCUGCUGCAUGGUGGGGGUUGGAAAGUUUCGGCGGUUGGGGAUGGACUCGCGGCUUAUCAGCUUGUUGGUGGGGUAGUGGCUUACCAAGGCUUUGACGGGUAGCCGGCCUGAGAGGGUGACCGGCCACAUUGGGACUGAGAUACGGCCCAGACUCCUACGGGAGGCAGCAGUGGGGAAUAUUGCACAAUGGGCGGAAGCCUGAUGCAGCAACGCCGCGUGCGGGAUGACGGCCAUCGGGUUGUAAACCGCUUUCGCCUGUGACGAAGCGUGAGUGACGGUAAUGGGUAAAGAAGCACCGGCUAACUACGUG